UACGAGGGGGGCAAGCGUUGUUCGGAAUUAUUGGGCGUAAAGGGCGCGUAGGCGGUGCGGUAAGUCACCUGUGAAAACUCUGGGCUCAACUCAGAGCCUGCAGGCGAAACUGCCGUGCUUGAGUGUGGGAGAGGUGCGUGGAAUUCCCGGUGUAGCGGUGAAAUGCGUAGAUAUCGAGAGGAACACCUGCGGCGAAGGCGGGUUGCUGGGCUGAUACUGACGCUGAGGCGCGAAAGCCAGGGGAGCGAACGGG
This 253-nucleotide ribosomal RNA is filed under the name uncultured bacterium. RNAcentral's name for it is "partial 16S ribosomal RNA". It matches the Rfam family "Bacterial small subunit ribosomal RNA", at positions 524 to 776 of the family's 1533-position model. The record is from RNAcentral.